Molecule: transfer RNA, 81 nt
Filed under: Hermanssonia centrifuga
Lineage: Eukaryota; Fungi; Basidiomycota; Agaricomycetes; Polyporales; Meruliaceae
Description: Phlebia centrifuga tRNA-Pro
Rfam family: tRNA
About the family: Transfer RNA (tRNA) molecules are approximately 80 nucleotides in length. Their secondary structure includes four short double-helical elements and three loops (D, anti-codon, and T loops).
Source: RNAcentral
GGCCUGGUGGUCUAGUAGUAUGAUUCCUUCUUAGGGUAACCGAAUUGGAGGAGGUCCCGGGUUCAAUUCCCGGCCAGGCCC